This 251-nucleotide long non-coding RNA is filed under the name Carica papaya (papaya). Its description in RNAcentral is "long non-coding RNA (CPAP_LNC016103)". The record is from RNAcentral. Lineage: Eukaryota; Viridiplantae; Streptophyta; Magnoliopsida; Brassicales; Caricaceae.
CUUUGAAUUUUGGUUCUUAUAACUCCUAAGAAAAAUGCUCUUAAAAUUUAUCGUAAUGUUGCAUAUUAUUAUUGCAAGGUUUUCUAUUCCUCGAAAGCACUGGGAUGAGCUCGAAUAUCUAUUUUUGAGCCUUCCAACAAUACUGAUCAUCUCUUGAUUUAAAUUUGACAUAUAAUUGUCCAUUUACUAUUUUUUUAGUGAACUAUGAUAAAUGAAUCCAAUAUGCUUUGUUUAAGCAUAUUAGAUUGAAU